RNAcentral lists this ribosomal RNA (497 nucleotides) under uncultured bacterium. RNAcentral describes it as "partial 16S ribosomal RNA". It matches the Rfam family "Bacterial small subunit ribosomal RNA", at positions 28 to 507 of the family's 1533-position model. The record is from RNAcentral.
GAUGAACGCUGGCGGCGUGCCUAAUACAUGCAAGUCGAGCGAACAGACGCGGAGCUUGCUCCUCUGACGUUAGCGGCGGACGGGUGAGUAACACGUGGAUAACCUACCUAUAAUACUGGGAUAACUUCGGGAAACCGGAGCUAAUACCGGAUAACAUGUUGAACCGCAUUGUUCAACAGUGAAAUACGGUCUUGCUGUCACUUAUAGAUGGAUCUGCGCCGGAUUAUCUAGUUGGUAAGGUAACGGCUUACCAAGGGAACUAUGCGUAGCCGACCUGAGAGACUGGUAGGCAACACUGGAACUGAGCCACCGACAAGACUACUGCGAGAGGCAGCAGUAGGGAAUCUUACGCAAUGGGCGAAAGCAUGACGGAGUAAGGCCGCGUGAGUGAAGAAGGUCUUCGGAUCGUAAAACUGUGUUAUUAGGGAAGAACCAAUGUGUAAGUAAAUAUGCACGUCUUGACGGUAACUAAUAAGAAAGCAACGGCUAACUACGUG